GCUUUUCACCUUGUUGUUGAAUACUUGACAUUUGUCUCUUUUUUUUUGUUGCUUAUUCAAAACAAGAAAGAAGUAUUGUUUUGCCUAUCUGUUCUGUUAGUGGGGAUACAAUGAUUCACCGAUACGCGUCGGUCCCCCGGUUCAAAUGUUUAAGAUGUGAGUGCAUCUGUCCGUGGGAGCCCAAACCAAUCCAUAUGUAGCAUGCAUCGCCUAUGACACUUUUAUGCAUGUAACUGCAUGUGAUAUUGAUCUACAAGUCCGAUAACCGCGCAGUGCGGGAGACGCAGCUGCUCGCGCCAACGAGAGGUAGGGCUACCUACCCUAUCCCUGUUCUAAUAUUCGUAGGCAACAUCUGCACAGCACCUUCAGCAUUUACAUGUUUUUAAAAUGUCUUUUGCAAUAUUAAAUUGGUUUCCCUCAAUUAAUAUCUAUGUAAUUUGCUGGGUCAUUUAGCUAGGCUUCCAUCCAAUUGGAAUAUUCUCAAAUCUGCAUAAAAACCAUAUGCAGAUUUUCAUCACACAAUUUUCCAUCAAGUUGACCUGUUGAGGAUAAAAGGCUGGCGUUGUGCACAUAAAAAUAGCGUUUGCGGUUAAAUUCCCAUGUACUGAAUAGAAAAUACAAGAUAAAUGGGUUUCUACCGCAUUUUCAACUCUACUGAUGGUUUUCUCACAAAAAAUGUUGUUAUAUAGUGAGUGUACCCACUCUGGUAUUGGCACGUGCGCUGUAGCCAUCAGGUCGCAGACACAGUGUGGGUAUAGCCUACAUUAGAUUAUUAUGGACAAAAGAGAGAUUAUUUUUGUCACGGCAGCCAAGUGUCAACGAUCAUGUCACCAGAAUAAGACACUAUUUAUUGGGAGGAAGCAUCAAGCUCAUCACCUGCACUUUCACCACCCUGUGAAGUUCACUUAUUUCAUCAGUAUCCUAAUAAACUGCAUGCUUUCCUGACAAGUCCUAAUGUGGGAGGAUCACACGUCAUUGCGUUACUCCAGGUUUACUUCGAUAUACUGGUUAUUAUGUAGCAGUAUUUAUUAGAGAGGUAAAUAUAAAGAUUAUGUUCGGGCGCCAGGCAGGUAUUAACCAUGCCGAAAGGACAAGAGUAGAAUAGAGAGAGUACCACUACCAGAUCCACACACAUCAACAGAAGAGACUGCCUAGAGUGUAGCCUGUUUCCCAGAUAGCCAGUGGAGAGAAGACACACCAUAUAAACCCACGUCACAGCACAGGGGUAACCCCACCAAUAAUACCUCAUCAGCACAGGGGUAACCCCACCAAUAAUACCUCAUCAGCACAGGGGUAAACCCACCAAUAGUACCUCAUCAGCACAGGGGUAACCCCACCAAUAAUACCUCAUCAGCACAGGGGUAACCCCACCAAUAAUACCUCAUCAGCACAGGGGUAACCCCACCAAUAAUACCUCAUCAGCACAGGGGUAACCCCACCAAUAGUACCUCAUCAGCACAGGGGUAACCCCACCAAUAAUACCUCAUCAGCACAGGGGUAACCCCACCAAUAAUACCUCAUCAGCACAGGGGUAACCCCACCAAUAAUACCUCAUCAGCACAGGGGUAAACCCAC
Non-coding RNA from Oncorhynchus mykiss (rainbow trout), 1575 nucleotides. The record is from RefSeq and is a predicted model, not a curated record. Lineage: Eukaryota; Metazoa; Chordata; Actinopteri; Salmoniformes; Salmonidae.